This 689-nucleotide ribosomal RNA is filed under the name Salmonella enterica subsp. enterica serovar Bovismorbificans. RNAcentral describes it as "bacterial SSU rRNA". It matches the Rfam family "Bacterial small subunit ribosomal RNA", at positions 54 to 737 of the family's 1533-position model. The record is from RNAcentral. Lineage: Bacteria; Pseudomonadati; Pseudomonadota; Gammaproteobacteria; Enterobacterales; Enterobacteriaceae.
CAUGCAAGUCGAGGGGCAGCACAGGUAGCAAUACCGGGUGGCGACCGGCGCACGGGUGAGUAACGCGUAUGCAACUUGCCUAUCAGAGGGGGAUAACCCGGCGAAAGUCGGACUAAUACCGCAUGAAGCAGGGAUCCCGCAUGGGAAUAUUUGCUAAAGAUUCAUCGCUGAUAGAUAGGCAUGCGUUCCAUUAGGCAGUUGGCGGGGUAACGGCCCACCAAACCGACGAUGGAUAGGGGUUCUGAGAGGAAGGUCCCCCACAUUGGUACUGAGACACGGACCAAACUCCUACGGGAGGCAGCAGUGAGGAAUAUUGGUCAAUGGCCGAGAGGCUGAACCAGCCAAGUCGCGUGAGGGAUGAAGGUUCUAUGGAUCGUAAACCUCUUUUAUAAGGGAAUAAAGUGCGGGACGUGUCCCGUUUUGUAUGUACCUUAUGAAUAAGGAUCGGCUAACUCCGUGCCAGCAGCCGCGGUAAUACGGAGGAUCCGAGCGUUAUCCGGAUUUAUUGGGUUUAAAGGGUGCGUAGGCGGCCUUUUAAGUCAGCGGUGAAAGUCUGUGGCUCAACCAUAGAAUUGCCGUUGAAACUGGGGGGCUUGAGUAUGUUUGAGGCAGGCGGAAUGCGUGGUGUAGCGGUGAAAUGCAUAGAUAUCACGCAGAACCCCGAUUGCGAAGGCAGCCUGCCAAGCCAU